UUAUCUCUGUAGAGUCUGCAUAUCAAUAAGCGGAGGAAAAGGAAACUAACUAAGGAUUCCCUCAGUAACGGCGAGUGAAGCGGGAAGAGCUCAAAUUUGAAAUCUUCAAGGUUCUACCUUGACGAAUUGUAGUUUAAAGAAGUGUUUUCUGUUGGUGUUUUGGUAAAAGUUCUUUGGAAUAGGACAUCAUAGAGGGUGAGAAUCCCGUAUUUGACCAGUUACUUUCCAGCUGUUGUGAUACACUUUCAAAGAGUCGGAUUGUUUGGGAAUGCAGUCCAAAAUGGGUGGUAAAUUUCAUCUAAAGCUAAAUACUGGCGAGAGACCGAUAGCGAACAAGUACCGUGAGGGAAAGAUGAAAAGAACUUUGAAAAGAGAGUUAAACAGUACGUGAAAUUGUCAAAAGGGAAGCGUUUGACACCAGUGUUGUUUUCUCGAAAAUCAAUUAAAAAUGGCGGGAUUUUGUGUUGUAUUGACUUUAUCAGCUUUCUGCACUUUUUUCCUAUCUUUUUUAAUGCACUUUUCGUUUAACAAGUCAACAUCAAUUUCUUUUGUUGUAAGAGAGGUCAUUGGAAGGUGGCUUUCUUUUCGGAGAAAGUGUUUAUAGCCUUUGACUUCUGCAAUCGGAGAGAUUGAGGUCUGCAGCGUAGAUCCUUCGGGGUUAGAUGCAUUUGUGCUAAGUUAUAGCCUUUCAUAGACAACUUGUUGACUAUGAUCAGUCAUGUAGCUUACUCGCUUAUGUCAUUUUACCUACGCUUAGGAUGUUGAUCUCUCACAGUCGAGC
RNAcentral lists this ribosomal RNA (781 nucleotides) under uncultured Neocallimastigales. RNAcentral's name for it is "partial large subunit ribosomal RNA". It matches the Rfam family "Eukaryotic large subunit ribosomal RNA", at positions 24 to 645 of the family's 3401-position model. Lineage: Eukaryota; Fungi; Neocallimastigomycota; Neocallimastigomycetes; Neocallimastigales. The record is from RNAcentral.